RNAcentral lists this unclassified non-coding RNA (148 nucleotides) under soil metagenome. RNAcentral's name for it is "partial internal transcribed spacer 1". The record is from RNAcentral.
UAGUAAGUGUUUUAUGGCACUUUUUAAAUCCAUAUCCACCUUGUGUGCAAUGUCGGUCGAUCUUCUUUUUUUGAGGAUCGACCAAACAUCAACCUUUAUUUUUUAACUCUUUGUCUGAAAAAUAUUAUGAAUAAAACAAUUCAAAAUA